Non-coding RNA from Poecilia reticulata (guppy), 337 nucleotides. Lineage: Eukaryota; Metazoa; Chordata; Actinopteri; Cyprinodontiformes; Poeciliidae. The record is from RefSeq and is a predicted model, not a curated record.
CCACUAGUUGGUGCUAGAUUCUAUGAAACUUUGAAAGCGCGCAUGUGUUUAAAAAAAAGUUCUACUUGAAGGCACGUGGAUUCGCAUUUGACCAUCAGGAACUGGCAGUCUGACGGAACAACCCCACUCUCCCCUGCUGUCCAACCAUGACAGCAUCGUGACCAUCAUACUAAGACCGCCAGAAGGUUCAAAUAGCCCAAUGCUCAUAUUUUCAAGAUUUUUGCUGUUUGCUGAAAUAACAAAAGAGAAGAAAAAAUCCCAUAUGCUGAUCAGGAAGAAGAAUAGGAACUGGUUUUAGAAUACACAUAAGUGAGAAAAUAAAGUAAUAUUACCAUGA